AGCGAACGCUGGCGGCAGGCCUAACACAUGCAAGUCGAGCGGGCCCUUCGGGGUCAGCGGCGGACGGGUGAGUAACGCGUGGGAACGUGCCUUCUGGUCUGGAAUAACCCUGGGAAACUAGGGCUAAUACCGGAUACGCCCUUUUGGGGAAAGGUUUACUGCCGGAAGAUCGGCCCGCGUCUGAUUAGCUAGUUGGUGGGGUAACGGCCUACCAAGGCGACGAUCAGUAGCUGGUCUGAGAGGAUGAUCAGCCACACUGGGACUGAGACACGGCCCAGACUCCUACGGGAGGCAGCAGUGGGGAAUAUUGGACAAUGGGCGCAAGCCUGAUCCAGCCAUGCCGCGUGAGUGAUGAAGGCCUUAGGGUUGUAAAGCUCUUUUAUCCGGGACGAUAAUGACGGUACCGGAGGAAUAAGCCCCGGCUAACUUCGUGCCAGCCGCCGCAGUAA
Molecule: ribosomal RNA, 449 nt
Filed under: uncultured bacterium
Lineage: Bacteria
Description: partial 16S ribosomal RNA
Rfam family: Bacterial small subunit ribosomal RNA
Source: RNAcentral